Molecule: ribosomal RNA, 373 nt
Filed under: uncultured bacterium
Lineage: Bacteria
Description: bacterial SSU rRNA
Rfam family: Bacterial small subunit ribosomal RNA
Source: RNAcentral
GGGCCCGCACAAGCGGUGGAGUAUGUGGUUUAAUUCGAUGCAACGCGAAGAACCUUACCAGGGUUUGACAUCCUGCGAAUCUCUUGGAAACAGGAGAGUGCCUUCGGGAACGCAGUGACAGGUGGUGCAUGGCUGUCGUCAGCUCGUGUCGUGAGAUGUUGGGUUAAGUCCCGCAACGAGCGCAACCCUCGUCCUAUGUUGCCAGCACGUAAUGGUGGGGACUCGUAGGAGACUGCCGGGGUCAACUCGGAGGAAGUGGGGACGACGUCAAGUCAUCAUGCCCCUUACAUCCUGGGGCUACACACGUACUACAAUGCUACGGACAAAGGGCAGCAAGUUCGCGAGGACAAGCAAAUCCCAUAAACCGUGGCUC